Long non-coding RNA from Mustela lutreola (European mink), 508 nucleotides. RefSeq lists it as uncharacterized. The transcript has 3 exons. The record is from RefSeq and is a predicted model, not a curated record. Lineage: Eukaryota; Metazoa; Chordata; Mammalia; Carnivora; Mustelidae.
AUGCCCUGCCGCAAGAACGCUUAGACUCUCUGGUCUCUUCCAGACAUACUUUUGUGUCCCUGGAAUCCAGGAAACUCUGGCUACCUGCAGUGUGGAGAAGCAGCUGGCCGGGCCAGGACCCGGGGCCCCUCCCUGGAGGGAGCAAAUGCCUCUCCGGCUGCAGCUGCGGAAAGAGGGAGGAGACUCGGGGGACAGGAUGGUGAGCUGUGGAGGCAGUGGUUUGGAUUUUAACUCGGCACUACUGGGAGCCAUGGAGUUGGAGCACAGUUAGCUGUUCUUGAACGUCUUCAAACAGCUCAAGUCAUGUUGGAAACCCACAACCCAAACGUUUAACUGGAGUAUCUAAAUCCUUUUAAAAAUGGGGCGCCUAGGUGGCUCAGUCGAUCGAUGAAGCCUCUGCCUUCAGCUCAGGUCACAAUCCCGGGGUCUUUGGAUCGAGAGCCCCGCAUCGGGUUCCCUGCUUAGGAAGUAGCCCGCUUCUCCCUCUGCCUGCUGCUCCCCCUGCUUG